This 253-nucleotide ribosomal RNA is filed under the name uncultured bacterium. RNAcentral describes it as "partial 16S ribosomal RNA". It matches the Rfam family "Bacterial small subunit ribosomal RNA", at positions 524 to 776 of the family's 1533-position model. The record is from RNAcentral.
UACGUAGGGUGCAAGCGUUAAUCGGAAUUACUGGGCGUAAAGCGUGCGCAGGCGGUUAUAUAAGACAGAUGUGAAAUCCCCGGGCUCAACCUGGGAACUGCAUUUGUGACUGUAUAGCUAGAGUACGGCAGAGGGGGAUGGAAUUCCGCGUGUAGCAGUGAAAUGCGUAGAUAUGCGGAGGAACACCGAUGGCGAAGGCAAUCCCCUGGGCCUGUACUGACGCUCAUGCACGAAAGCGUGGGGAGCAAACCGG